RNAcentral lists this long non-coding RNA (512 nucleotides) under Numida meleagris (helmeted guineafowl). RNAcentral's name for it is "lncRNA (ENSNMEG00000008712.1)". Lineage: Eukaryota; Metazoa; Chordata; Aves; Galliformes; Numididae. The record is from RNAcentral.
GCUCAGCCCGCACACAGGAGGCCAAGCCGUGGAGCGCUCCCAAGUUUUUCCAUGUCCAUGUGCCAAAGUCUGUGUUGGCCUCAUGGACUUUUUCUUGCUCAUGAGCGCAGUUCAAAAGAUGCAGGAUGAGACUGGAGACACGAGGCCAUGGCUGAGGCUGCCCGGCUGACCCGCUGGGCUGGAGCUGCUUGCAGGGGAGCACUGCCAAGGAAGGCAGGGGCAGAAGUCCACUUGUGCAGCAGCACUCCAACGUUAGAAGCCCAGAAGGACACAGCACCUUUCUGGAAAUGAGAGAUGUAAAGCCACAAGCAAGCAGCGUGAGCACCGCGCUCCUGUGGAAAAGAAACCCAUGUUCAGCUACCGGUGCCUUUGGGAUGGAGACUGGGGCCUGCCCCAACACAUCGAGGAAGGGUUCCCAUCCAGGCUGCGGGCAAUUGGGCACUGGUUCCCACAGAGUGUGGCCUGGCCUCGUGCUGCUGCACCAAAGGAAUCGCUGCUUGGGGCUGCCCAGU